Molecule: long non-coding RNA, 12150 nt
Filed under: Nicotiana tabacum (common tobacco)
Lineage: Eukaryota; Viridiplantae; Streptophyta; Magnoliopsida; Solanales; Solanaceae
Description: long non-coding RNA (NTAB_LNC019180)
Source: RNAcentral
AAAUCCCUCCCCUAAUUAGUAAUAUUGUCCAUAGGUCUUAAAGUGAGGUGCUAAGACUAAGAUUCAUUCUCCAAUUCAAGAAUGAAGAUGUAUUAUAUCCAAAAAAGGCUUCAGCAAGAUAGCAUCAUUAGCAACGUGAGAUUCCACAGUUCUUCAACAAUUUAAAACGUAAGACUUCAUAGGUUCUUCGGCAAUUCAAAACAUGAGAUUUCACAAUUAUAAGGGAGUAUGGUGCAAUCUUUCUCAAGAAUAUCAUACAGAUUUUUCCCUAAUCCAGGUAUGUUAAGGCUAAUCCUUCUUUCUUUUGGCAUGAUCCAAGCAACGAUACGUAAACGUAAUGUUAUUCCAUAAAAUAUUCUACUCUUAGAAGUUAAGGAUGUCUACGUUAUUCAUUCCUAUGAAAUGUAAUUCAAAGCAUGUCUAAGUAUGAGUCAUCGUGUCAGAGUUUUGCUACAGACUUAUGGGUAGGCUGACCUAUCCUAUUUGAUGUCAAACAAUCUUAGAGGCUUUGUAGAUAGAGGUUCAUUUUGUACAGUAUGUCAGAGGCCUUGAUGGGCCAUAUAUAUUUAUGUUUUAAGAACGAUGGUUCAGUGAUACAGUGUUGCCCACUUAUAGUUAUACAUUACGAGUUGUGGUCAUGUUGGCCCAUGAUAGUUACAAAGAAAAUAAAUGUUGCAAAGUGAUUCGCUCAGGCCAGUGCGGCACCGGGUGCCAGUCACGCCUCCCUAGGUUUGGAGCGUGACAAAAUUGUGUUAAAUCAGAGUAGGCUAAAUGAUGAGGAUGCAGUCAAGCUAUGUAUUAUGUAUCUUAUAGAGUUCUUCCUGUUUGAUUCAAAGAAAGAAAAUGGUUUGAUCGACUACUUCUGCUUCUACUUGACUGACUCAGGCCAAUGUGCAAAUUACCCAUGGGGUAUAAAUGCUUAUACACAUUUGCUUCAGUCUGUGAGACAUAAGUUGAGCCCAUCUGUACAUUUUUACCUUCUUCGAGGGUACCCCUCGCGAUGCAAAUCUGGUUGUAUGAGUGUUGCUCCAUAGCUAACACAGAUAUUGCAAUAAGGGUUGGCCAUUCGAUCCCCGUAUUCUUAACUGGACAACAACAAAGGAUAAAAUAUGGAUGUUUACAUUAGAAGAGAAGUGAUCAAACCAUCUUGGAUUAGAAUAAAUUUUCACACUCUAUCUUACUAAUUUUGGGGUGCUCCAAUUUUGUUCGUGAAGAAGAAGGAUGGCUUUAUGCGGAUGUGCAUUGAUUAUAGACAGCUAAACAAAGUUACAGUCAAGAAAAAGUACCCAUUGUCGCAUUUUGAUGACUUAUUUGACCGGCUACAUGGUGCUAAAGUGUUUUCAAAGAUUGAUUUGAGGUCAGGGUAUCAUCAGUUGAAGAUUCGAGACUCAGAUAUCCCGAAGACUGCUUUCAAGACUCGUAGGGCCGCUACGAGUUUCUAGUGAUGUCCUUUGGGCUGACCAAUGCCCCAACAACAUUUAUGCACCUGAUGAACAGUGUAUUCUAGCCAUAUCUUGAUUCUUUCGUCAUCAUAUUGAUUGAUGAUACCUUGGUGUAUUCCCGCAACCGGGAGGAUCAUGAGCUGCAUUUGAGGAUCGUGCUCCAGACAUUGAGAGAGAAGAAGUUAUAUGCAAAAUUCUCAAAGUGUGAAUUCUGGCUUGAUUCGGUGGCAUUUUUGAGCCAUAGUGUCUACAAAGGGGAUCAAAGUAGAUCCAAAGAAGAUUGAGGCAGUUCAGAGUUGGUCUAGAUCAUCUUCAACUACCGAGAUUCAAAAUUUCCUUGGUUUGGCCAGAUAUUAUAGUCGUUUCAUAGAGCGUUUCUCGUCCAUUGCUUCACUUUUGACCAGAUUGACCAAGAAGGGUGCUCCAUUCAGGUGGUCCGAUGAGUAUGAGGAGAGCUUUCAGAAGAUCAAGACUGCCUUGACCACAACUCUAGUUCUAGUUUUUCCUUCAGCAUUGGGUUCAUAUACGGUUUAUUGUGAUGCUUCGCGAAUUGGUAUUGGGUGUGUCUUGAUGCAGGAGGGUAGGGUGAUUGCUUAUGCUUCGCACCAAUUGAAGCCUCAUGAGAAGAACUACCCUGUUCAUGAUCUAGAGUUAGUAGCCAUAAUUCACGCAUUGAAUAUUUGGAGACAUUAUCUCUACGGUGUGUCUUGAGAGGUAUUCACAGAUCAUCGGAGUCUACGGCACUUGUUUAAGCAAAAGGACCUAAACUUGAGGUGGCAGAGGUGGUUAGAGAUGUUGAAAGACUAUGAUAUCACUAUUUUGUAUCAUUUCGGAAAGGCCAAUAUGGUGGCUAAUCCCUUGAGUAGGAAGGCGGAGAGUAUGGGUAGCCUUGCAUAUAUUCCAGUUGGUGAGAGAACGUUAGCACUGGAUAUGCAGGCGUUGGCCAAUCAGUUUGUGAUAUUGGAUGUUUCAGAGCCCAGCUGGGUUCUAGCUUGCGUGGUUUCUCGGUCUUCUUUGUAUGAGUGCAUCAGAGAGCGUUAGUAUGAUGACCCCCAUUUGCUUGUCCUUGGACACGGUGCAGCACGGUGAUGCCAAGGAGGUUUCUAUCGGAGAUGACAGAAUGUUACGGAUGCAAGGGCAGAUAUGUGUGCCUAAUGUCGAUGGGUUGCGUGAGUUGAUUCCUGAGGAGGCCUACAGUUUGCGAUACUCCAUUCAUUCGGGUACCGCUAAGAUGUAUUAGGAUUUGAGGCAGAAUUAUUGGUGGAGAAGAAUGAAGAAUGAUAUAGUGGAGUAUAUGGCUCGGUGCUUCAACUGUCAGCAGGUGAAGUACGAGCAUUAGAGGUUGGAGGGUUUGCUUUAGAGACUUGAGAUUCCCGAGUAGAAGUGGGAGCGUAUUACCAUGGAUUUUGUUGUUGGGAUCUCACAGACUUUGAAGAAAUUUGAUGCAGUACUGUGGGUGAGUGUGGAUAGGCUGACUAAAUCGCACAUUUCAUCCCGGUAGUGACUACCUAUUAUUCGGAGUAGUUGGCUCAAAUCUAUAUCCGUGAUAUUGUUCAUCUCCAUGGAAUGCCGGUGUCCAUUAUAUCUGAUCGGGGCACGUAGUUCACAUCGCAUUUCCGGAGAGCCGUGUAGCGUAAGUUAGUCAUACGGGUUGAGUUGAGUACAACAUUUCAUCCCCAGACGAACAGGCAGACUGAGCACACCAUUCAAAUUUGGAAGGUAUGCUACGCGCCUGUGUUAUAUAUUUUAGGGGUUCAUGGGAUCAGUUCCUACCACUUGUCAAGUUUUCCUACAACAACAACUACCAAUCGAGUAUUCAGAUGGCUUCUUAUGAGGCCCUAUAUGGGAGGCGGUGUCUUUCUCCAAUUGGUUGGUUUGAGCCGGGGGAGGCUAGGUUGUUGGGCACUUAUCUGGUUCGGGAUGCCUUGGAGAAGGUCAAGUUGAUUCAGGAUCGGCUUCGUACAAUAUAGUCUAGGCAGAAGAGUUAUGUUGAUCAAAAGGUUCGUGAUGUAGCAUUUAUGGUGGGAGAGAGGGUUUUUCUGUUGAUUUCACCCAUGAAGGGUGUGAUGAGAUUCGGAAAGAAGGGUAAGUUGAGCCCUAGGUAUAUUGGUCCUUUUGAGAUCCUUGAGAGAGUGGGGGAAGCGGCCUAAAAGCUUCCAUUUCCACCCAACUUAUCGACAGUUCACCCAAUGUUCCAUAUCUCCAUGCUCCGAAAGUAUUAUGGUGAUCCGUCCCAUGUAUUAGAUUUCAGCUUAGUCCAAUUGGACAUGGAUUUGACUUAUGUUGAGGAGCCGGUGACAUCUUGGACAUGCAAGUCCGAAAGUUGAGAUCAAAGAACAUUGCUUCAGUGAAGGUUCAACGGAGGGGUCAUCCGGUUGAGGAGGCGACCUGGGAUACUGAUCACGACAUGUGGAGUCGCUAUCCUCACCUUUUUAUCACUUCAAGUAUGUCUCUAUGCACGUUCGAGGAUGAAAGUUUGUUUUUAAAGGGGGAGAAUUUAACGACCCGACAAGUCAUUUUGUGAAUUUGCGGCUCAUUUCCCCUUUUGAUGCUUCACACAUAUGUUUAUGACUUACGGGGUUGAUUGAUUUCGUUUGGGGAAGGUUUCGGGUUGAUUUGGACCAUUUGGCUCUUGGUUUAGAGGCCUAGUUAGAAAUAUUAAUGAAAGUUUGACUUUUGUGAAAAUAACCCGAAAACUGUGUUUUGAUGGCUCCGAUAGGUUCAUAUGGGGAUUUUGGACUUGAGUGUAUGUCCAGAAUCGAAUUCAGAGGUCCGUAGGUUGAUUUGUGUUGUGUUGCCGAAAUUUAGCAAUUCGAGGUUUAGAAGAAUUCUCAAGUUUAACCAUAGGUUGACUUUUGGCUAUCAGGUUUGAAAUUUGGUUUUGGGACUUGGAAUAGGUCUGUUAUGCUAUUUAAAACUUGUCUGCAAAAUUUGGUGUCAUUUGAAGUUGAUUUAAUAUAAUUCGGACGCUUGGUUGCAUUUCUAGAGGUUCUUGAACUUUUCUUUGAAAUUCAUGCGAUUUGAUAUCUGAUUCGUAGUUCUAGAUGUUAUUUUCGUGUUUUGCUCGCAUGAGCAAUUUUAUAUGAUGUUUUUAGACUUGUGUGGAUGUUUGGUUUGGAGCCCCGAUGGUUUGGAUGAGUUUCAGACGCAUUCCGGAAUGGUUUUGGAACAGAAACAGAAUUACUGGUGUGGUGGUGCUCUAAUGUCACAUUGCGAGCACCAGCAUCGCAAUUGCGAACAUGGCAGGUGAUCACGCCCAACUCUAGUCCUAAAAAGGAUAAGCGGUCGCUGCAAAUAUAAUCCGGUCUAAAAGUCCGGAGUUAAAUCCCACAGAGAACUAAGGUUUUGAUACAAUUGUUGACUAUCACUAAGAAGACAAGCUCGAACAAUUCCGAAGUUAUAAAUAUUAAGAUUCUUAUAUCUAACUAAUUAACUAACAAAUUAAAGUAGCAAAUUAACAACUAGGGAUAUUAACGGUUGGAGAAAAGAUUAAGGAGGUCUAGAGUUAUGAUUUCCACAAUUGUCGGAAUCCUUCCCGCUAUGUCUUCUAUAAUUUCGCAUAAGUAUUCUCUAUUGAUCAUGAGCACUCGAGUUAUCGUAAUUCUCUCUCGAGCAACUACAACAAUGUACUAGUCAUAUUCUCUCGAAUUACGCUAGCUCACACUUUUUCACUACUCACUAAGAUCAUGUGAAAGCUUCGUUAUCUCUAAUCCUGCUGUUAAACCUGCUGUAUUGAUCUCUCAUAUACGUUAGGAGUGACGUUGUUCAACAACCACUUAUAUAUAUAUAUACUCUUUUCCAAGCAAUACAUAAUAAAUAGGCACCGUUAAUUGAGAGCUCUUCAAUUAACUAAAAUAAGUAUAUAGUUGAACAAAUAGAAAAAUUCAAAGACUCAAUUAUAUCAAAACGUAUCAAGAAUUCAUCCUACAAAAGGAUUCAUCAAAACCCUAGAUAAAAAAUUAGCUAUUCAUAAUAGUAUGCAAAACUACAAUACUAGAAUUCAUAACCAAUAAUGAAAAUAGGAAGAAGGAAGUGAAAAACUCGUAGAAGAAUUUUCUGCCUUACUCCUAGCGUGUUCUUGUCUCCUUGGGUCGAAUACACUCUCUAAUUAUGUCUAACCCUCUAAAAACUAACUUUAAGGGGUAUUUAUAGGGUAAGGGCCGAAUUUACAUGUCCAAUACUAAUGAGGAAUUAAACUUUUUUUCGUAUGGCAUUGUUGGCGCCUUGUACUGCCUGUAACACUGUAGUUUCGGUACUAGGCACUGUUUGUAGCAUUGUCUUUUUGGCGCAAGGCAUUGUCUAUGGCACUGAUGACAGUGCCCUGAACAAUGCCUUGCACUGUCUAUGGCACUGUUGUUAUUGCGCAAGGCACUGUCUAUGGCACUGACUUUUCGUUGCCUUGCACGUCUUCUUUUAUUACUCAAUUUUAUAGCUCUGAAGUACCAUUUCGUGCAACUUUUCUCCAACUCAUGUCCAAGAAUUCCUACACAUGAAAUUUACUCUAUUAAGCGCAAUUGUCGCAUAAAUUGACAUCCAAACAACAAGCAAGUAGGACUUAUUAUGGUUGUAAUGUGGGCUAAGGGAUGGGUAUGAUAUAUUUAGGAUAUAGUGGAUAAUCCUCCUAAGCACUUUAACACAUCACGUAUUCAUCUUUAAGCGUAAAAUUUCUUCAGUCCAUUUCAAUCAUCACAAGAUAGCUUAACCCGGAAUAUUUUUCCUUCUUCUUUACGCACUGCUUCAGAUCACAUCCAUUAGCAAAAAUAAGAAACCUUUAUUUAUUCAAUUAUUCGUUCCUUCUUAUUUUUUUUUACUUUUACCUUGCCACUAGUGGAUUUUUAUUUAAAGCACAAGUGUACAUUUCUUCCUUCCAUUGGUUCCACUAAAAAGCUACCCCAAGUUUCCUCAUUACUUCUCUCUAGCACUCUCUUUAAAAUUCAAGUGCUUUAAGAGGUAUAAGGAUCAAAAUAAUUCAAUUAAGAACAAAAGGGGAUAGGCUUAUAAUGCGGGUGCCAAAAGUAAGUCUUAUGGGCUCAAAAGGGUAACUACAGAAGAUUUUAUUUGUGAUAGACAACAAAAGUAAAACAGAUCAAAAAAAGCCUAACUUCACUUUUCAAACUGAGUAACACCUAGGAUUUCGAUUCAAUUCACAUUACGAGAAAGUUCUAGACCCAAAUGUAAUAACAUGGACUAUACAAAGAACUCACUUCACACGUGGCACAUGACUCACUAAGGACGGUUUCAUUCAGACUCUCACUCAAACAAGUAUUCACAAAGCCAAGAGGUAUAUUAAGCAUAAAGCACAAAGUGAACAUAAGUCAAGCAACUGAGACAUAGGAGUUAUACUAUAUGCUAUUCAUUUUUUAUCAAGGCAUCAUCAUAUAUUUAAAAUCAAGGAAAGGUGAAACACAUGUCAGAACACCAAAUAUGCAACCAUCAAACAAGUCAAAAAGUGCAAAUCACAUCAGUUCUUCUUCUUUAUUUCCUACAUACUACUAUAAAGUAAAAAUAAAAAAUAAUAAAAAUUAAAACUACUACCCGGUUCAAGUUACAUCCUAUAGAAAAGAACCGAGGCACUAAAAAAAAUCACGGGGGAAUUAUUACUACCUAAGAAAAAUAAAAGACAUGUUUUUAUUUUUUUGUAUGUUUAGACUUAAAUCCCUCAAGAAAAUUGUCUUUGAGAUCCAUCGUUGGGAAAAGUCCAAAUAUGUUUUUAUAAAAAAAACUAUCAAUUAAACUAACACAACUAAAAUAGCAUUGAAAGUCACCCAGACAAUCUCCUCACUUCACACUUAAAAUUGUGCAUUGUCCCCAAUGCACAACAUAAAUAAUAAGAGGGUAAAAGAAACUCCUUGGUAGGCCAAAGGCCGAAGCACUAACAGCUCAUGGGGUACUCAGUCUUCUCCCGAAUCUUUUCCUUUGUGCGGGCACUCCACACUUAGUUAUAACCAUCUGGCUUGUUAUUGCAUAAUUCAAAUAGCUAUGCUUCCCAUGCUCCUAAAAACUAAAAAAUGACACUACAAAAAUAAUAUAAAAAACUAAAAUAAAAAAAAAGCAGUAAAGUUGGGUUGCCUCCCAACAAGCACCUGAUUUAACAUCGCGGCACGACGAGAACCACUUUCUGCAUCCACCUCGAGCUUAUGAAUUGAACCUCCAAUUUGGCUUCAAGUUUUCGGUUAUGAUCCAGGGGUGGUGGAAUAAAUCUAAUUGGCCUAAGCAACCAUUGUACUAUUCUACACUUCUUGGCUUUUAGAUGAGGUAUGUAGUCCUGUCUUUCUGGCAAGAAAAAUUCCAGAAUGUAGGCACCUUGUUCUUCAUUCCUUGACUCCUCAGUCGGCUCGGAUGACUCUAUUUCCAUAUCGUCAUCCAAGCACAAUGUGGAAAAAUGUUUGGAGUAAGGACCAAUGCGCUCAAACACAUAAACUUCAGGACUUUCAACGUCCUCAACAUCAAUGAUACUAGAGUCAACAAAAUUUAUAUCCUCAUUAUCCUUGGCUGACUCUAGUCUCGCAUCUUCAACAUCGACAUCCUCAAAUUGUAGUUGGCUAGGUUGUUGAUGUUCUACUUUGACCUCCUCCAUUAGUACCUCGAAUCUUCUUGGCUACUAUCCCUAAUAUUAGCUUGUUGAGCAUUAAAAGCUUUAACCACUUGACUCACUUGAGCCUCCAAGUUGUGAAUAGUUGCCUCUUGCCUUUCUGUUUGCAAUUGUUUCUCAUUAUUUUGUUCCAGAAGGAACUUUAACAUAUCCGUGAUCUCCUUCAGGUCUGCAUCCCCAGGUUCUUUGUUCAUAUUAACUUCACAAGAAAAAGUGAAACCAUCAUAGUAAGGGGUUGGGGGGAGGAUAAGAAAUAUAAGCACAACCAUGAAAGUGACCAUUUCAACCACCACACACAUCACACACAUUUCACAAAUAAAAUUGAGUUGGUGCACAUAACUCACUUCGAGAAUAUUUUGAUAAUUUGGCCAUAAGUGGUUUCUUUCACAAUAUAUAUAAGGAUCAAUAGUAGAAUUAUCUACACCUAAACUCCCAAAAUUCCAAGAUAUCAUGUUUCUCAAAUCAACAAGUAGAAUAAAAUAAAAUUAAAAAAUAAACAAAACAAAAUAAAAGUUCAAACUUGAAACCUAGCAAUAUAUAAAGCUACAACUACACCGUUAGUUCUCUGAGAACGGUGCCAAAAUUUGAUCACGCCUAACUCUAUCCCUAAAAAAGAUAAGCGGUCGCUGCAAAUAUAAUCCGGUCUAAGAGUCCGGAGUCGAAUCCCAUAUAGAACUAAGGUUUUAAUACAACUGUUGACUAUCACUAAGAAGACAAGCUCGAACAAUUCCAAAGUUAUAAAUAUUAAGAUUCUUAUAUCCAACUAAUUAACUAACAAAUUAAAGUAGUAAAUUAACAACUAGGGAUACUAAGGGUUGGAAAAAAGAUUAAGGAGGUCUAGAGUUAUGAUUUCCCCAAUUGUCGGAAUCCUUCCCACUACAUAUUCUAUAAUUUCGCCUAAGUAUUCUCUACUGAUCAUGAUCACUCGACUUAUCGUAAUUCUCUCUUGAGCAACUACAACAAUGUGCUAGUCAUAUUCUCUCGAGUUAAGGUAGCUCACACUUUUUCACCGCUCACUAUGAUCAUGUUAAAACUUCGUUAUAUCUAAUCCUGUUGUUAAACCCGCCGUAUUGAUCUUUCAUAUACGUUAAGAGUGACGUUGUUCAACAACCACCUAAAUAUAUACUCUUUUUCAAGCAAUACAUAAUAAAUAGGCACUGUUAAUUGAGAGCUCUUCAAUUAACUAAAAUAAGCACAUAGUUGAACAAAUAGAAAAAUUCAAAAACUCAAUUAUGUCAAAACGUAUCAAGAAUUCAUCCUACAAAAGGUUUCAUCAAAACCCUAGAUAACAAAUUAGCUAUUCAUAAUAGGGUGCAAAACUACAAUACUAUAAUUCAUAAUCAAUAAUGAAAAUAGGAAGAAGGGAGUGAAAAACUCGUAGAAGAAUUCUCUGUCUUGCUCCUAGCGUGUUCUUGCCUCCUUGGGUCGAAUACCCUCUCUAAUGAUGUCUCCCCCUCUUAAAACUAACUUUAAGGGUCGAAUACCCUCUCUAAUGAUGUCUCCCUCUCUAAAAACUAACUUUAAGGGGUAUUUAUAGGGUAAUGGACGACUUUACAUGUCCAAUACUAAUGAGGAAUUAAACUUUUUUUUGCAUGGCAUUGUUGGUGCCUUGCACUGCCUGUAGCACUGUCGUUUUGGUGCAAGGCACUGUCUGUAGCACUGUCUUUUCAGGGCAAGGCACUGUCUAUGGCACUGAUGACAGUGCCUUGAAUAAUGCCUUGCACUGUCUACGGCACUGUUGUUACCGCGCAAGGCACUGUCUAUGGCACUGACUUUUUGUUGCCUUGCACGUCUUCUUUUAUUGCUCCAUUUUAUAGAUCUGAGGUACUAUUUCGUGCAAAUUUUCUCCACUUCAUGUCCAAGCAUUCCUACACAUGAAAUAAGCUCUAUUAAGCGCAAUUAUCGCAAAAAUUAGCAUCCAAACAACAAGCAAGUAGGGUAAAUAAUGUCAAAAUAUAUGGAAUUAUUUCAUGAUAUCAGCAGGGGAGGCUCGGGUAUUGCAAUUGCGAUACCUUGUUUGCAUUUGCAAAUUCUGGACUUGGGUAGACAAAGUCUGGACUUGGGUAGCGAGGAGGAUGGACUUCGCAUUUGCGAAGUCUAUGUCGCAAUUGAGACAUCUCCUCAGUGAGUCAGUUGCCGCAAUUGCGAGCUUUUCUUUUGAGUCGCAAUUGCGACAUCUGCAACUGAACAAAGGGCUGGGAGUUGGAAUUUUAUAUCAUUUUCUCUCAUUUUAGAACCCUAUACUCAGUAGGAGGCGAUUUGGAGAGAGGUUUUCAUCUACAAAUAUUGGAUGAGUGAUUCUAAUCAAUUUCCAACUAUAUUUCAUGAUUAUAUCUUAGAUUUAACAUCAAAUGUAUGCGAAUCAAAGAGAAAAAUUGGGGCUUUUUGUCAAAGUUUUGAAAAACGAAGAUUUGAGCUUUGAGAGUCGAUAUGGACUCAGAUUUAAAAAUAAAAUAUGUAUAUGGACUCGUAGAGUUACGGGUAGUCAGAAUCUAGCCUUGGACCCGGGUUUUGACCGGGCAGGCCCGGAAUUGACUUUUGUUAACUUUUUGGAAAAUGUGUAAUGAUCAUAACUUUAUCUAUUGUAAUUGGUUUCCCUGUCAUUGUUUGAUAAUAUUAAGUCAUUUUUUGUUAGAAUUGAGCCGUAUGGAGGCGAGUUUUAGAGGAAAAGCUAUAUUCGAGGGUUGAUUUGGCCUAGUUGAGGUAAGUAUCUUGCCUAACUUUGUGUGGAAAACUAUCCCUUAGGAUUUGGGUUGUUUCUAAUAAUUGUACUAUGUGAAAAAUGUGUACACAAGGUGACGAGUAUGUACACGGGCUAUAUGUGGUAUUUUGACCGGUUUAGUCUUCUUCCAUGCCAUUACUUGAAUUUGUUAUAACAUGUUACAUCUUUUAUUGUUAAAUUUAUUCUUACAUAUUCUAAUUGAUGUUGUUAGCAUUUGUUUUACCCUUUAUUGUUGUAAUUGCUCUUAUAUGCUUAAUUGAAGUUGCUACCUUCCUUAUUGUCUUGUUACCCCUUUUAUUGUUGAAAUACUCUUACUUGAAGUUGUUACUUUGUGGAAUAUCUUCUUGUUGAGUGAUUGGUGUUGAAGUUGUGGAAAUCAUUAUCACAUUGAGGUUGAAGUUAUUAAUUGUUGACUAUUCCUCAUUUUGAUAUUAUUGAGAUUCUUAUACACAUAUGAUUGAGCCAUGAGCUCUACCUUGUGGUAACAUUGAUAUUGUUGAUUUUUGCAAGUGUUGUGGCAUAUGUGCACAUGUGGUGCGAGUUGAUUAUUGUGUUGUGAUAUUGAUACGCAUGCAAUGGUAUAAGGAUAGGGGUUGAUACGCAUGCAGUGAGAUAAGGUGAGAAAUUAUACGUGUGUUGCUAGUAAGAUAAAUUACUUGAAGACAUGAGAUGAGAUAAGGGAGCUAAAACGCGUGUAGCCAUUUCGGAAAAAUAUUUUCAAAAAUAAAUAUAAGGCUCACGCGGUGAUAUAAGAAAAUAUUAUGAUUGAAACUGUAAAAUGUGAUAUGAGACGGUACGUCAGUUGUGAUUCUUGUUGUACAUUUCAUGCUAAAAGAGGCUUGUUGGUUGAAUAGUGCUUGUUGUUUCUUCAUUCUCCUACUUGUAGUUGUCCAGGUUUGACUACUUGUUGUUUCAUCAUGUGUUCACUACUUGUUGUCUUUACCGUUUAGAUUUCCGUUGUUAGCUUAUAUUAUUGAACUGCUCAUCUGUCAUUUACUUCCUCGGGAUCCAUUAUUAGACUAUGCUAUAUUCUGUUCAGUUUCUUAUCCUAGUAGGUGUCUUGACCUGGUCUCGUCACUACUCUACCGAGGUUAGGCUUGAUACUUAUUGGGUGCCAUUGUGGUAUACUCAUAUUACGCUUCUGCAUAUUUUGUGCAAAUCCAGGUACAUCCGCCCGUGCUAGACGCCAAUGACUGAUUAGCUAUUUUCGAAGACUUCAAGGUAUACCUGCUCGACAUUUGCAGGUCUCGAAGUCACCUUCUGUUUAGAUGUUCUACUAUUUAUUUCCUCUUCAAAAUAAUAUUGUAUGUCUAGAACUUUAGUGCACUCGUUGUAGAGCUUAUGACUCAGUUCCACCAGAUUUUGGGAGAUAUUUGUCGGUUGUAACUAUUGGG